RNAcentral lists this long non-coding RNA (1985 nucleotides) under Heterocephalus glaber (naked mole-rat). RNAcentral's name for it is "lncRNA (ENSHGLG00100035970.1)". The record is from RNAcentral. Lineage: Eukaryota; Metazoa; Chordata; Mammalia; Rodentia; Bathyergidae.
GUCCAUCUAAUAACAGAGAUGGCUACUAAGUGACUAAAUGGGCAGAUAGUAUAUACUGCAUGGAUAUGAUAAAUGAAGAUUUGAUUCAUGUCCUGGGUGGGACAGAAUGGGAUGUCAAGAGAUAUCAUCACAACACUCAGACUGGUGCACAAUUUAAAACUUAGGAAUUAUUUUUUUCUGAAAUUUUGCAUUUAAUGUUUUGGAUAUGGCUGACCAUGGGUAACUGAAGCCAAAGAAAUUGAAACCUUGGAGGAGGGGGCUGCUGUAGUCUGUUCUGUGGGCUCAGAUAAUAUCUCUCUGGAAUACAGCCACAAUCACUUCCUUGCUGCUUUUUGCUGCUGGCAGAUCCCCGAGUCUUAUUCUUUCCUGGCUCCAGGAUGGGUAUUAUUUGGCCAGCUGGUUUUCAGUCCCAUAGACCUAAAGUGGCCCAUGGCAGCUGACUUUCCAGGCUUCCUUUUCGAUAAUCAUGCUCUUUGGGCUGCUAGGUUUACCAGGAUUUGUCCGUGCUGGGAUAUAUAUGGGCAGCCUGUCAAGUGCCUCUUUCCAAAACCUGCUAUAGAUUGGAAGGCCAGGAACCUCUGUCUUGAAUAUCCUCAUUUGAAAAUGGGACACCUGCUGGCUUGUCUUGACCUCCUGGCUCUGGCCUUUCUUUUCCUUACCACAAUUCACUCAGGACCAGCAAGAAGCAGGUCCUCCCUUACUAUGAACAUUCCAUGGGUUUGUCAUUUGAGGUUGAUUGUUGCUAUGCUACAGGCAGGGUGAAAAGGCUGGGUAUACAUUCUCAGAGCAACUGCUCAGCCUGAAAAGCUAGCUCUGGCUGCAAAAUCAUCCUUUUGGUCCAGAAUACAUAUCUCCUUGGUCUUUGUUUUUCUUCUAUAACCCUUAUCUUUUCCCUUGGCGGAGGAAUUCUCUAAGACCACAGCAAAGAGAAAGGCAAAAGAUAAAAGCACAUUAAUGCUCUUUAAAAUUCUAUCUUUGCAAUGUUACAUUGCAUCCAGUGCAGCUUCUGGUUAAAACCCAAUGAAUAUUUGUUGAAUGAAUGAAUAAUUAUGAUGAAUGAUUUCUUUUUAAACAAAUAGACACCCCUUAACAUUUUGGUCAACAGUAGACCACAUGUUGAUAGUGGUCCCAUAACAUCAUAUCACGUGUAACAUCUAGCUAUCUCGGUUUGUGUAAAUAAAUACACUCUAUGAUGUUCACAGAAUGAUGAAUUAUCUAAUGAUACACUUUUUACAUUCCCCAUAUUAAGUGAUGCAUAACUGUAUGUAUUUCUCAAGCAGAUCACUGGCAAUUCAUAACAGACAUCGUAUAGCCAUUUUACCAUGAAGAAAUUAUAAAUCUUUGGUUAAUUGUCAAAUAAGUAACUCUGUAGUCGACAGAAAAGAGUUUUCUCUUUUCUCCAUGAAGAGCAGUUAUAAGAAUAAUAAAUUUUUUACCAAAGCAAAAAUUGUACUGGAGAAAGCUCAACAGGCGAAGAAGACUUUGUUCUGGCUACUGAAGUAGAGGAGAAAGACCAGAACUGAGUGUUACUCAACUCUCCUAAAACAAAGAACAGAAAAGAUAUUGGGCAACAGUUUCUAUCUGUAGAAGUCCUUCAGAGCCCCAGUCUCAUUGACAGGAAGACAUUAACCUUGGUUCUUCCCACUUGAAAUAAUUUGCAUCUGAAUUAUAAGUUUCCAGAAAUGGAAUUAUCAAAGUGAGCCUACAUAAAAGCCAAGAGGUCUAAGGAAGUUUGUAAGGUGAUGGACUAAGCUUUACUUUUCUAUGUUCAAUGGAUGCUGACAAAAGUUGGCUUUGUGCAGUGUUUCUAUGAGGCAAUGAGGCCAAGCGUUUUUAUUCCCAAGGAUGAAAUGGAAAUGAUGGAGUCAAUAAGGUGAGGCACACUGGCAACACCUAGUAUGUUUUAUUGGCUCCCACUUCCUUCCCCAUCCACCUGCUGUGUACCCCAAGGCCACAGUCUGUUUGAACUGUGAAAUUCAGGUGUG